Molecule: long non-coding RNA, 1629 nt
Filed under: Gallus gallus (chicken)
Lineage: Eukaryota; Metazoa; Chordata; Aves; Galliformes; Phasianidae
Description: long non-coding RNA NONGGAT009197
Source: RNAcentral
AUUCUCUCUUCUCAGAUUUGCAUGACUGGUGUCUCUGGACAGCCUGAGGCAGAUAUUAAGGAAAGAUCAGCAGUUACAGCGAACGUCCAGGGGUGCACCGAUCACAAGGCCUGCUGUCAGAAGCAUGGAUGAUGGUAGAAAUCAUCAGCGUGCAGCAUGUGCCAGCACCAAAGCUUCCAUCAGAGGCAGUAUCAUCUUCCAGCCUGCUUGAGUCCUCACCAGGUAAGUGCAUUACUUGUCUCUUGGGUCAGGGAAUGAGACAGCUGAGUGAGGCACAAUUAUAUGCAGGGUUUGGAAUAGUUGACAAAGUAAUGUGAGGGCUGCUUCUGGAAGUAUCCUCUGACCAGGCCUUAACCUGGGGUUGCUACUGUCCUCUGGCAUAGUUUUUCAGCUUAGCGUCAGGCAGGAGCAGCUUCUGCAAAUGGGGACAGAUGGAUUGUGCAUGUUCACAGCAAGUCCAGCACCAGAAAGGGAAACACUGUGCUUUCACAGUAGCCCUUGGUGGAGGAGGUCCUUGACAGUUAAAAAGCAGUAGAGCCACUACUGCCUUUUUUAGUGAACAAAUAGUCCAGCACAAACACAUUUUAUUUUAAUUAGCAUUAAAGAUGUCAUGAACCCUGCAUGUGUAUUUCUAAUUUGAAAUGGUGUCAGUCAACAUCGUAGAUUUUGAGAAUGAUCUCAAAAGUUGACCCUCUUUAGUUCUCUUCACAGAGAUAGAUAAAAUACCCAUGGAGGGGAUGGAAGUGAAAAAGAAAUGUGAGCCAGUGAUCACAAAAGUCAACUUAGGCAGUUAUAUGAAUGCAUGUAACAGUAUAUCGCUGUCUAGAAUUUGCAUUUGCAGCUUUUCCCAGCCUUAGAUUAGAAUUUCAACUAUUUUAAAGCAGUCAUUGGUAUGAUAUCAUUUUAAAUCUCUGUUGUCACAGAUUCCAGGUGUUAUAUAUUACAGGUACAGCUUCACAGUUGGUUUUUGGAUACACUUGUUUAUUGCUACUAUAAAAAAAAGCCACCUUUUUUGUGCCUUGAUAACUCAAAGCUUGCAACUGGACUUACGAUAAACAUUACAUGUGCAGUUGUCAUUUCAGAGUAUGCAGCAUGAACGCAUUUUUUGGAGAGAAAAGAUUGAGAUUUAUUUGGCUUUUGAUGGGGUGGGGGAGAGGGCAGAAGGGGUGCCUGUGUAUGCAUGUUAUAUGUUCUGGUUAAUUUUUAAGCAACUAGUUUACAUUAAAAAAAAUCAUGGAGGGGAAGCAAUAAUAUUUAAAGUAAUUCAAACAGUUUGAUAAUUCUAUCUUAUUCUACAACUAGGUUAUUGCUUAUAAAGUCACGGUUGUGAAAUCAAUACAAAUGUUUUAACUGUAAGGUCAGGCUUGUGAUGUAGCUCAUUCUUACUAAUGUUUUCUGAAAAAUGUUUUCUGUUCCUCUGAGUGAAAAAUGCUGCAUAACCCACUGCCACGCUUAAUCUAAAAUAGGUACAGAGAUGCACUUCAGUUUUCUGAAUAUUUUUUUGCAAACCGAAUUUAUGAUAACACCCAUUCCUGUAUUACUUUACUUAAGUCUAAAAAGGGACAUUUAUUUACAGUAGAGAAAAUACGUCAUAUUGGCUUCUUGUAUAAUGUACCAGCAUGACCUGAA